RNAcentral lists this ribosomal RNA (253 nucleotides) under uncultured bacterium. Its description in RNAcentral is "partial 16S ribosomal RNA". It matches the Rfam family "Bacterial small subunit ribosomal RNA", at positions 524 to 776 of the family's 1533-position model. The record is from RNAcentral.
GACGGAAGGUGCAAGCGUUGCUCGGAAUUACUGGGCGUAAAGCGUGCGCAGGCGGUUUUGUAAGUCUGUCGUGAAAUCCCCGGGCUCAACCUGGGAAUUGCGAUGGAGACUGCAAGGCUAGAGUUUGGCAGAGGGGGGUAGAAUUCCACGUGUAGCAGUGAAAUGCGUAGAGAUGUGGAGGAACACCGAUGGCGAAGGCAGCCCCCUGGGUCAAAACUGACGCUCAUGCACGAAAGCGUGGGGAGCAAACAGG